RNAcentral lists this long non-coding RNA (610 nucleotides) under Monodelphis domestica (gray short-tailed opossum). RNAcentral's name for it is "lncRNA (ENSMODG00000038739.1)". Lineage: Eukaryota; Metazoa; Chordata; Mammalia; Didelphimorphia; Didelphidae. The record is from RNAcentral.
CACAAAUAAUAUUUCUCCAGUUCGGUAAAUCUAUAUUUGUGUAAAGAAUAUUUUGUAGUUAUAUUUACAUAGUUCUUAUGUGUCUCUUGACAGAUUGACACCCAAGUGUUGUACAUUUCAUAAUUGUUUUAAAUGGAAUUUCUCUAUCCUUCCUUGGUUUGGCUGCCAAUGCAGAGAAAUGCAGACGACUUAGGGAGAAGAAAAUCAUACUGAGAAGAUACCAUAUAAUAAGUCUUGGUCUACAUGAAAGUUAUGACUUAAAAAAAGAAUUAAACAUUACACUUCAAUAAAUUAUUUUUAAGAACUGGCCUGAAGUUUUGGAACUAAAAGAUAAAGUAGAAUUUGAAAGAAUUCAUCGAUCACCACCUGUAAGAGAUCCCAGCAGGAAAACUCAAAGGAAUGGUAAUACAAAGUUUUGUCACUAUCAGUUUAAGGAGAAUAUUCUACCAAAAACCCCUAGAAACAGUGUAAAUAUUGUGUAACUAUAAUCAGUAUAACACAAGAUUUAGAACAUUCUACAUUAAAAUAAUGAAGAGUGUAGAAUAUAAUAUUUUAGAGAGCAAAGGUGCUGUGUCCACAACCAAGAAUAACCAACCCAGAAAAGCUGAGU